ACUGGCAUGUCGGAAGCGGAGACACCCUUCCACUUCGUCUGCAGCCUACCGGGGGUUCCAGGCUAGCAGGAAGGGACGCUGCAGGUACCCUACUAAGAAAGGUCACAAUGGAAGUCAAAGUCUACCAUUCACUGAAGAAGCCAUUCUGCAGCAAAAAAGACACGACAUACUUCUGGAAGCUGACAGCCAUAUGGUCCCACAUACAGUUUUGAAGUACCUGAAGCAAUCAUAGAAAGGGAGCUAUUUCUAGGAAAUUAAUGAGCUGCAUCCGAGAGAAGGAUUGAACCUGUAAGAUUCUUGUUAGUGUGCAAAGAGAUACAUACACAGCAAGCAACUAAAUAAUAAUAAAGACUACUAAAACAAGAUUUUUGAAACACAAUAUUGAAAUAAAAAGAAUAAAUCAGAACUCACCUUGUCUUUAAGGCUGAGUAGGUA
This is a non-coding RNA of Pelodiscus sinensis (Chinese soft-shelled turtle), 435 nucleotides long. NCBI's taxonomy places the organism in Eukaryota, Metazoa, Chordata, Testudines, Trionychidae. The record is from RefSeq and is a predicted model, not a curated record.